AGCACUUUUGGAUAAAUAUAUUUGGAACAGAAGACCAAGUGCAGUAAGAGUGUCCGAACAGAGUGAUGAAGAUGAAUAAACAGCAGAAACCAGAAGAAAAGCUUGACUCAGACAUGAACACUACCACUCUACUUGAGGAUACCAGAAAGGAUCAGCAAGUUUAUGGAGGAGAAAAUGUGAAACAUGAAGAUGACUUACUGAGUCAAGCAACACCCAUCAACUGGCGAGUAGAAGUUAUCAGAACAAGCAACACAGGCACUUUAAAUCAUGUCACAAUGAGAAAAGUCCCCUCCUCCGCUUCUCUAAAAGAGGAAAACAUUCAUUAAUAAUGAAUCAGGACUCCUGGUGUCAACACCACAAACCCCUUUAAUGCAUACCUUAUAGUAAUUGUAACCAGGCCUAACCAUGUGUCAUUAUUGAACAUUUACAGAUGAUUAUUGAUUAUGUGAGCAGUAAAGAUGAUGACAUUACUGUACAUGGUGUCCCAUACAUUUCCAUACACAGGAAAAAUUUACCUUUUUUUAUCUAAAAAAACAACCCAACAUGUUUUCUGGCCAUCAGGAUUAUUUAAAAGUGUUGGUCUUUAUUCAAAUGCAUCUUCUAGUAUAAUUGUUUUUAAUUAUUAUAUUUUUUUUACAUAUUGAUCAAUAACUUACUUUGAGAUUUGUAAGUGAAGAUGACCAGCAGAUAUUUAAGUAAUUAUUUUUUAUUAACAAACAAAAAAAUGACAAUAUUUAAGUGUAGAACAUAUGCAAAAUUGAAAGAAUAAAUACAAUUAGCCAUAAAGGGAAGUGACUGUCCACAA
Molecule: non-coding RNA, 805 nt
Organism: Nerophis lumbriciformis (worm pipefish)
Lineage: Eukaryota; Metazoa; Chordata; Actinopteri; Syngnathiformes; Syngnathidae
Source: RefSeq, a predicted model, not a curated record